AAACAGUAGGAGCAGAGAUAGCUUGGAGAGAUAAGGGCCAAAGGGAUAAAAGGCAGUUUUAUUUUCAGAUGAAGAGAUGGAGAAGAGAAAAGAGAAUGCAAGAACUAAAUGGUGAAAACUACUGUGAACCCUGAACACGUAUCAUCUAUUAUACGAAAAAAUGGACCAGGAGACAGGGAAAAGAGUAUCUCCUACAGAGAUACUCUUGGAAGCUGAAGGAAAGGCUGAGAAUGUGUGGGUGUGUUUUCAAGCCUGUGAAACUGAGCUGGUG
Peromyscus eremicus (cactus mouse) is the source of this 271-nucleotide long non-coding RNA. RefSeq lists it as uncharacterized. The transcript is spliced from 3 exons. Lineage: Eukaryota; Metazoa; Chordata; Mammalia; Rodentia; Cricetidae. The record is from RefSeq and is a predicted model, not a curated record.